This 889-nucleotide long non-coding RNA is filed under the name Homo sapiens (human). RNAcentral describes it as "HSALNT0340511". Lineage: Eukaryota; Metazoa; Chordata; Mammalia; Primates; Hominidae. The record is from RNAcentral.
UGUGCGACAUCUUGUUUGUGGUGAUGGAUACAAAAGUUGACACAUUCAUCAAAGCUCGCCACAUCAUUCACUUGAUAUCUGCAUAUUUCACUCAAAAGACCAUGGACUGAUAUGCCCAGGCCCCUGCUGCUCCAGCAAGCAACUGCAAACAGCUCUAGAAAUGCUGUAACCCUGCUGUCCUGACUGGCCCCCAGUGAAUGAGCAGGAUGAGUUGGUGAUGGCUCCAAACUUUGCCAUUGAGUGUUCAGAUCUGCACUUUAGGGAGUUUGAAUAGACACAACAGCAUCUGUUGGCAGCAUCUCAAAGCACCUAUAAGACAGUUGGGGAAGAACAUCUGGAAGACAGUUAAGGAACAGCAAGUGAGAAGCAGAGAGAAGCGAAUAGGUGGAAGCCACAGUUGGCAGAAGCCCUAAGGAAGAAGUUCAUUUUCACCGUAUAUUACACCAUGAUGAAGGGAUUUUCAUUUCACAAAGGUUUGAAUAAUGACUAAGGUCUAAGCUCACAUAUCCCCAGGAUGAAGAAUUAAGUUUAAUCCAUAGAGUUGCCCAAACCUUGUGGAAUGUCAUUUCCUGCAUCCCCUUGUUCACAUCCUGGUGGUAGAUUUGUUUUACACAGUGUAACCUAAUACAGUAGGAGGCUGAAACUCAUCAGUAAUCUCUGCUUUUGUGUGGCAAGAAUGGUGCAGUAUGGAGGCACCAAAAAGUAUGGAGGCAGUGCUGGGGAUUCACCUUGGUCUUCAUUUUUAUCUUUCUUGGGAUUUUUUUCCAACCAUAGAAGUUACUUAGACUUAGCACUUGUGCAUAAAUAUCACCCUUAAGCACAGUUGCAAAGAAAGCUCAGUGGGGUGGCUUUAGAAUGAUCCCGUUUGGGAAGCUAAGUGUAAGCAGUG